UGGGGAAUAUUGCACAAUGGGCGCAAGCCUGAUGCAGCCAUGCCGCGUGUGUGAAGAAGGCCUUCGGGUUGUAAAGCACUUUCAGCGGGGAGGAAGGCGAUAAGGUUAAUAACCUUGUCGAUUGACGUUACCCGCAGAAGAAGCACCGGCUAACUCCGUGCCAGCAGCCGCGGUAAUACGGAGGGUGCAAGCGUUAAUCGGAAUUACUGGGCGUAAAGCGCACGCAGGCGGUCUGUCAAGUCGGAUGUGAAAUCCCCGGGCUCAACCUGGGAACUGCAUUCGAAACUGGGAGGCUAGAGUCUUGUAGAGGGGGGUAGAAUUCCAGGUGUAGCGGUGAAAUGCGUAGAGAUCUGGAGGAAUACCGGUGGCGAAGGCGGCCCCCUGGACAAAGACUGACGCUCAGGUGCGAAAGCGUGGGGAGCAAACAGG
Molecule: ribosomal RNA, 429 nt
Filed under: Chloroflexota bacterium
Lineage: Bacteria; Bacillati; Chloroflexota
Description: Chloroflexi bacterium partial 16S ribosomal RNA
Rfam family: Bacterial small subunit ribosomal RNA
Source: RNAcentral